UACGUAGGGGGCAAGCGUUGUCCGGAUUUAUUGGGCGUAAAGAGCGUGUAGGCGGCCAAGCAGGUCCGCUGUGAAAACUCGAGGCUCAACCUCGAGACGUCGGUGGAAACCGUUUGGCUAGAGUCCGGAAGAGGAGAGUGGAAUUCCCGGUGUAGCGGUGAAAUGCGCAGAUAUCGGGAAGAACACCCGUGGCGAAGGCGGCUCUCUGGGCCUUACCUGACGCUCAGGUGCGAAAGCUAGGGGAGCGAACAGG
RNAcentral lists this ribosomal RNA (253 nucleotides) under uncultured bacterium. RNAcentral describes it as "partial 16S ribosomal RNA". It matches the Rfam family "Bacterial small subunit ribosomal RNA", at positions 524 to 776 of the family's 1533-position model. The record is from RNAcentral.